GAAACCAAAUAGAGGUAUAUCACUGUUAAUGAUAAAAUUGAGUAAUCUCC
This 50-nucleotide transfer RNA is filed under the name Chrysolina hyperici. RNAcentral describes it as "tRNA-Asn". The record is from RNAcentral. Lineage: Eukaryota; Metazoa; Arthropoda; Insecta; Coleoptera; Chrysomelidae.